This is a long non-coding RNA of Oncorhynchus tshawytscha (Chinook salmon), 3290 nucleotides long. The record is from Ensembl. NCBI's taxonomy places the organism in Eukaryota, Metazoa, Chordata, Actinopteri, Salmoniformes, Salmonidae.
UGUCAGUUCCCUGCUCUGUUCCCUGCUGCUGCAUCGUAUUGUUUCUGACACUGUUCCUGUCUCUUCGCUGUCCGUUACAAUGAAAUGUUUUACUCCCCGUACCUGCUUCGGAUACAGUUGCUAUCUACCUGAUGACGAGGUUCAUCAACAAGGUGCUGCAAGCGAUGGUGUUUGCCAGUGUCAGUGUUUGGCUACACAGCCUGCUUUCUGGUGGAUGGUUUUCAGUCAGGACAACUGGGGUCCCAAAGACCACCGCUCAGUUCUACAGGCAGGUCGUAAAGGACAACGGUUUCCCUGGUGAUGAGACCACCAGAGGUCAAAGGGUGUUACCCAUGUGACUUCCACUGGGGCGUGGCCGACUCAACCGUACAGGUCCAUUUCCACCCCUUCUCCCCUCAAUUCUUGGACCCCCAUCUGUACAGCUGGAACCUGACAGGGGACAGGGCGCUGUAUCCUGUCCAAGGGGUCAAGCUCCACACCAGGAUGAUUACCUGGCCAUCUGAGGUCACCUGGGCUUCUUUGAGUCCACAGGGGCAUCUCACUACCGCUUCGCUCUAAACUGGUCCCUCAUCCUGCCCCAUGGAGAUCUGUUUAAUGUGCACACAGAGGCCCUGAGGGUAGACACACUGUAUAAUUCUAUCGCUGUCUCCUGACUGAGCUCCGCAAGCAGGGCCUGGAGGCCAUGGUCAUGCUCUACUACCCCAUGAACAGAGCCCCUCUGCUGGGCUUGCCUGGCCCGGUGCAUGGCUCCAGAGGCUGGCUGAACCGGAGCACGGUGGAGGCCAGGGCUACAGGGCUGGGCCCUGGGUGAGUUAUUGGAUCACCGUCAAUGAGCCCAACAGACUGAUGGAGUGGAGAGGCGCAGCAUCUGGCAGCCCAUAGCCUCCUGCUGGCCCACACUAAGGCCUGGAGGCUAUAUGAGAGGGAGCAUCUCAGCCAACAGAGGAUGUGUCCCUGGCCCUGCACGCAGACUGGGUAGAACACAUCAACCCCUUCCUGGAGUCACAUGCAACCACCGCUCAGAUUUCUGUGUUUUUUUUUUAACCUUUAUUUAACCAGCUCGUCAGUUAGAUGGCGUCAACCUAAAGAGCUUCUACAUCUGGAAACUGCAGGAUCGACACGUUCGGCCUCUUCACCUCUUUCCACCACCGGUCACAACCCAAAACCUCCAUCGCAGCCUAACGACGGAUCAUUGACUGCAGUGGUUUCCCUGGCAACAACGUCACAUCUUCCUGUAGGGUCAGCAACCGCCGGACAGUGUGUUCCAUCUGCGCUCGCAUCUCAGAGAACAAACCCCUGCUGUUCUUCACUGCAUGUCUCCUCAUCACGCUAGCUGUGCUAGUGGCAGUCGUCAUCGUCAGGAGGAAGAGGGCUAGGAGUAGGGGGUGCCGGUGUGUCCUGUCCCAUUAGGGAUGAAGUGUCAGCUGUGGGAGAGAGUGGCCCUGCAGCGUGUGACAAAGGAUCCGAGUGGUCAGCUGCUAGGCGUUUGGUCCUGUCGUAAUGGUUCUUGGGGACAGGUCUAGGAUCCGCUUACCCUCCUGAAAUCCAAACCUUGAACUGAGAGGAAAAACACAAAACUGACUGUAGAGCAGUGUCUAGGGGGAAACUUCAUUCUAAUCCACAUGGGAUUGUGCUCAACACAGCGGGAUCAGUGAGGGCCAGGGGGUCAUCUUUACCAAUACCAAGUGACUAAUAGUCUCUGUCUGAGCGCUAGAGAUCCCACAUAUUGAAAAACAAUGUAUCUCCAAUGAAUACAAUUGACAGUUUGUAGCCUAUAAACUAUCAGAAAUGUAUUAUGAAUCCUCAUGCUGCCAAGGCAGCAGCUACUCUUCCUGGGGUCCAGCUAAAUUAAUGCAGUUUAUACCAUUUUAAAAGCAUUACAAUACAUUCACAGAUUUCACAACACACUGUGUGCCCUCAGGCCCCUACUCCACCACUACCACAUAUUUACAGUACAAAAUCCAUUUGUCUGUAGUGCGUCUGUUAUGUGUGUAGGCAUGUGUCUGUGCCUAUGUUUGUGUUGCCUCACAGUCCCAGCUGUUCCAUAAGGUGUAUUUUAUAUAUUUUUUUUAAUCACAUUUUACUGCUUGCAUCAGUUACUUGAUGUGGACUAGAGUUCCAUGUAGUCAUGGCUCUAUGUAGUACUGUACGCCUCCCAUAGUCUGUUCUGGACUUGGGGACUGUGAAGAGAUCUCUGGUGACAUGUCUUGUGGGGUAUGCAUAGAUGUCCGAGCUGUGCUGCAGUAGUUCAAACAGACAACUCGGUGCUUUAAACAUGUCAAUACCUCUCAUAAAUACAAGUAGUGAUGUAGUCAAUCUAUCGACCACUUUGAGCAAGGAGAGAUUGACAUGCAUAUUAAUAUUAGCUCUCUGUGUACAUCCAAGGCCCAGCCGUGCUGCCCUGUUCUGAGCCAAUUGCAAUUUUCCUAAGUCCCUUUUUGUGGCACAUGACCACAUGACUGAACAAUAGUCCAGGUGAGACAAAACUAGGGCCUGUAUGACCUGCCUUGUUGAUAGUGUUAAGAAGGUAGAAACUAGGGCCUGUAGGACCUGCCUUGUUGAUAGUGUUGUUAAGAAGGUAGAGCAGCGCUUUAUUAUGGACUUUUUUAUUCUCCCCAUCUUAGCUACUGUUGUAUCAAUAUAUUUUGACCAUGACAGUUUACAAUCCAGGGUUACUCCAUGCAGUUUGGUCACCUGAUUUGUCCCAAAUACAAUGAUUUUAGUUUUAGAAAUAUUUAUGACUAACUUAUUCCUUGCCACCCACUCUGAAACUAACUGCACCUCUUUGUUAAGCAGUCAUUUUGGUCGCUGUAGUAGCUGACAUGUAUAGUGUUGAGUCAUCCGCAUACAUAGACACUCUGGCUUUACUCAAAGCCAGUGGCAGGUCAUUAAUAAAGAUUGAAAAAAGUAAGGGGCCUAGACUGAUUGUGUAUCGUGUAGGCCAACAAUAGACUGCCCUGUAUGACUUGUUAGUGUGCAUCACUCAGUGUCCUGAUCUCAUGUCUUGGAGACUUGUAAUCAUAGGGAGUUCACAGGGCGUCUGAACUGAUGGCAGAAGUAUUUUUCUCCCUUGGCUCCAGAGCCAUGUUAUCUAUGGAUGGCCAACUCAAGCACUUGUUUAGUUCGACUAAUUUAUUGCGCAAUUUUAUUGAGGGGGUAAAGAUGAUGUGUGAUGUCAUUGUAAAAACAUAUGUUAUUAUGUAAAUUAAACCAUAAUUUGCUAUAUAUGAAAUUCAAUAAAAUACAACUGUGUUGCAGCUUUCCCUUUUUCAAAUUGAUGUUAUCUGUUG